UACGAAGGGGGCUAGCGUUGCUCGGAAUCACUGGGCGUAAAGCGCACGUAGGCGGCUUACUAAGUCAGGGGUGAAAUCCUGGAGCUCAACUCCAGAACUGCCUUUGAUACUGGUGAGCUUGAGUCCGGAAGAGGUGAGUGGAACUGCGAGUGUAGAGGUGAAAUUCGUAGAUAUUCGCAAGAACACCAGUGGCGAAGGCGGCUCACUGGUCCGGUACUGACGCUGAGGCGCGAAAGCUAGGGGAGCAAACAGG
Molecule: ribosomal RNA, 253 nt
Filed under: uncultured bacterium
Lineage: Bacteria
Description: partial 16S ribosomal RNA
Rfam family: Bacterial small subunit ribosomal RNA
Source: RNAcentral